UUAAGAAUCAGACAAGGGUACUAAAAUUGGAACAAUACAGAGAAGAUUAGCGUGGCUCCUAUGCAAGGAUAAGGUGCAGAUUCGUGAAGCAUCCCAUAUACAA
This is a small nuclear RNA of Cebus imitator (Panamanian white-faced capuchin), 103 nucleotides long. NCBI's taxonomy places the organism in Eukaryota, Metazoa, Chordata, Mammalia, Primates, Cebidae. The record is from RefSeq and is a predicted model, not a curated record.